RNAcentral lists this ribosomal RNA (67 nucleotides) under uncultured bacterium. RNAcentral's name for it is "partial 16S ribosomal RNA". The record is from RNAcentral.
GUUACCGGUGAACCGGGCAAGGGACGGCCCCGCCGUUAGGGGUUAAAAACCGGAUAGACUGGCGGCU